Molecule: small nuclear RNA, 109 nt
Filed under: Chelonoidis abingdonii (Abingdon island giant tortoise)
Lineage: Eukaryota; Metazoa; Chordata; Testudines; Testudinidae
Source: RNAcentral
GUGUUUGCUUCGGUAGCUCAUAUACUAAAAAACUGGAAUGAUACAGAGAAGGUUAGCAUGGCCCCUGUGCAAAUAUGACAUGCAAAUUCGUGAAGUGUUCCAUAUUAAU